Molecule: long non-coding RNA, 670 nt
Organism: Brassica oleracea var. oleracea
Lineage: Eukaryota; Viridiplantae; Streptophyta; Magnoliopsida; Brassicales; Brassicaceae
Exons: 3
Source: RefSeq, a predicted model, not a curated record
AAGCCGUAAAGCCCCAAAUCGUGUAUGUCUUUGUCUCCCUCUCGACGAAACCAAGCUCCAUUGAAGCAGAAGAUUAAGCCAUGCCGUCCCUACUCCGGUGGUUCUAGCCAUCGAAACUGAAGAAAUAAGAAAUUAAGAAUGGAAUCUUGUGUUGAUGUGCCUAUUGAUUGGCAUGAAGUUCCUGAAUUCGAGUCAGAGAUUACCGAAGAUGAAGCACCAGUGAAAAAGAAGGAGAAGUUUUUGAAGCGAAUCAUGCAUUGCGGAAUAUGUGGUGAAGCCAAUCACAACUCGAGUUUCCAUAAAAAGAAUCCAAAAAGGCCCUUUUUAAGUGAUGACUCUUCUCUGCCUGAAUCUUCUCAAGGUGUUUGCACUCAAAACACACAGCCUAAGAAGUGAAGAUGGAAUGAAGUGAAGUGAAGAUGGAAUGAAGUGAAGUGAAGAAGUGGAGGUUUUUUCUCUUGUUUUAGGAUCAUGCAUGACUCUCGGGUUAAAGUAUUUUUUUGUGGUUCUAGGGACUUGUUUCUUGCUUUUAUGUACUUUUUACAGGUCUUAGGACCUUGUUUCUCGGCAUUGUGGUCUAUUAUAAUGGGUUUUAAACUCUCUUUUGGUGUGUUCAAAUUCGAGUCUUUGUAAGGUUUGAAUUCAAUGUAUGAUAUUUUAAUGGCUUCUA